GUGAGGAAUUUUCCGCAAUGGGCGAAAGCCUGACGGAGCAAUGCCGCGUGAAGGAUGAAGGCCUAUGGGUUGUAAACUUCUUUUCUUAGAGAAGAAUAUUGACGGUAUCUGAGGAAUAAGCAUCGGCUAACUCUGUGCCAGCAGCCGCGGUAAGACAGAGGAUGCAAGCGUUAUCCGGAAUGAUUGGGCGUAAAGCGUCUGUAGGUGGCGUCAAAAGUCUCCUGUCAAAGAUCAGGGCUUAACCCUGGGCCGGCAGGAGAAACUCUGAGGCUAGAGUUUGGUAGGGGCAGAAGGAAUUCCCGGUGGAGCGGGAAAAUGCGUAGAGAUCGGGAGGAAGACCAAAGGCGAAAGCACUCUGCUGGGCCACAACUGACACUGAGGAACGAAAGCGAGGGGAGCAAAAGGGAUUAGAAACCCUUGUAGUCC
This 426-nucleotide ribosomal RNA is filed under the name uncultured bacterium. RNAcentral's name for it is "partial 16S ribosomal RNA". It matches the Rfam family "Bacterial small subunit ribosomal RNA", at positions 354 to 796 of the family's 1533-position model. The record is from RNAcentral.